This 260-nucleotide long non-coding RNA is filed under the name Lathyrus oleraceus (garden pea). Its description in RNAcentral is "Pisum sativum (pea) long non-coding RNA (PSAT_LNC024802)". The record is from RNAcentral. Lineage: Eukaryota; Viridiplantae; Streptophyta; Magnoliopsida; Fabales; Fabaceae.
UUUUAUUAAUAGUAAUAGUGUUUUCAUUUUAGUCUUGUUUUAUAUAUUUUUUUUUUAAAAGAUAAAUUUAGGUAAAAGAAAAAAGUGGAACUUUGAGAGUGCAUGAGAGAAAGUGUAUUGACUCUGCUUCUUUUCAUUUUUCGUUUUCUACUUAUUCAUUAUGUUCUUUUUUUUUGUUUUUCAUGACAUGUGUCAAAAUACUUGUAGCGGUAAAUUCAUGACCAUCAAGUUAUGGAUAAGCUUGACGUCAGUAAAACCAG